CAGCAGCCGCGGUAAUACGGAGGGAGCUAGCGUUGUUCGGAAUCACUGGGCGUAAAGCACACGUAGGCGGCUAUUCAAGUCAGAGGUAAAAUCCCGGGGCUUAACCUUGGAACUGCCUUUGAAACUAGGUAGCUAGAAUCUUGGAGAGGCGAGUGGAAUUCCGAGUGUAGAGGUGAAAUUCGUAGAUAUUCGGAAGAACACCAGUGGCGAAAGCACUCUGCUGGGCCGACACUGACACUGAGAGACGAAAGCUAGGGGAGCAAAUGGGAUUAGAUACCCGUGUAGUCCCUGUCUCUUAUAC
Molecule: ribosomal RNA, 301 nt
Filed under: uncultured bacterium
Lineage: Bacteria
Description: partial 16S ribosomal RNA
Rfam family: Bacterial small subunit ribosomal RNA
Source: RNAcentral